Molecule: ribosomal RNA, 987 nt
Filed under: mouse gut metagenome
Description: bacterial LSU rRNA
Rfam family: Bacterial large subunit ribosomal RNA
Source: RNAcentral
AUAACGGUCCUAAGGUAGCGAAAUUCCUUGUCAGGUAAGUUCUGACCCGCACGAAUGGCGUAACGAUUUGGGCGCUGUCUCAACAGCCCACCCGGCGAAAUUGUAGUACUGGUGAAGAAGCCAGUUACCCGCAACUAGACGGAAAGACCCCAUGGAGCUUUACUGUAGCUUAAUACUGAAGAUCGGUAAUGCAUGUACAGGAUAGGUGGGAGACUAGGAAGCCAGGGCGUCAGCUUUGGUGGAGUCAACCUUGGGAUACCACUCUUGUAUUGCUGGUUUUCUAACCUGCGGCCCUGAAUCGGGUCGGGGGACACUGUUAGGUGGGCAGUUUGACUGGGGCGGUCGCCUCCAAAAGAGUAACGGAGGCGCUCAAAGGUUCGUUCAGCACGGACGGAAAUCGUGCAUUGAGUGUAAACGCAUAAACGAGCCUAACUGCGAGACCGACGGGUCGAGCAGUAACGAAAGUUGGAGUUAGUGAUCCGGUGGUAUGUGAGUGGAAAUGCCAUCGCUCAACGGAUAAAAGCUACCCUGGGGAUAACAGGCUGAUCUCCCCCAAGAGUCCACAUCGACGGGGAGGUUUGGCACCUCGAUGUCGGCUCAUCGCAUCCUGGGGCUGUAGUCGGUCCCAAGGGUUGGGCUGUUCGCCCAUUAAAGCGGUACGCGAGCUGGGUUCAGAACGUCGUGAGACAGUUCGGUCCCUAUCUGUCGUGGGCGCAGGAUAUUUGAGUGGAGCUGUCCCUAGUACGAGAGGACCGGGAUGGACGCACCACUGGUGCACCAGUUGUCGUGCCAACGGCACAGCUGGGCAGCUAAGUGCGGAUCGGAUAAACGCUGAAGGCAUCUAAGCGUGAAACCGGCCACAAGAUAAGAUAUCCCACUAGGUUAACUAGGUAAGACCCCUUGAAGACUACAAGGUAGAUAGGCACGAAGUGAAAGCGUUGUGAGGCGUUUAGCUAGCGUGUACUAAUCGGUCGAGGGCUUGACCAA